This is a non-coding RNA of Paramuricea clavata, 296 nucleotides long. NCBI's taxonomy places the organism in Eukaryota, Metazoa, Cnidaria, Anthozoa, Malacalcyonacea, Plexauridae. The record is from the annotation of a GenBank genome assembly.
GACGUCGAUAUUCGACGUCAUAAAUACGAUCAACUUUGGUGUUUAUGGCGUCGGAUAUUCGACGUCAUAAACACGAUCAAAUUUGGUGUUCAUGACGUCGAUAUUCGACGUCAUAAACACGAACAACUUUGCUGUUUAUGGCGUCGUUAUUCGACGUCAUAAACACGAUCAACUUUGGUGUUUAUGACGUCGAAUAUCGACGUCAUAACCACGAUCAAAUUUGGUGUUUAUGACGUCGAUAUUCGACGUCAUAAACACGAUCAACUUUGCUGUUUAUGGCGUCGAUAUUCGACGUC